GCUCUGGUGGUGCAGUGGGUUAGCAUGUGGUACUUGUACUGCUAAGGUUGUGAGUUCAAGCCUCACCUAGAGCA
This is a non-coding RNA of Alligator mississippiensis (American alligator), 74 nucleotides long. The record is from the annotation of a RefSeq genome assembly. NCBI's taxonomy places the organism in Eukaryota, Metazoa, Chordata, Crocodylia, Alligatoridae.